GCCGCCAUAGUUUCAAUGGUAAAACGGAGCAAUGGUAAUGCUCAGUUCCCAGUUCAAUUCUGGGUGGCGGCACCA
This 75-nucleotide transfer RNA is filed under the name Erysipelothrix sp. Its description in RNAcentral is "tRNA-Thr". It matches the Rfam family "tRNA". Rfam says of the family: Transfer RNA (tRNA) molecules are approximately 80 nucleotides in length. Their secondary structure includes four short double-helical elements and three loops (D, anti-codon, and T loops). The record is from RNAcentral. Lineage: Bacteria; Bacillati; Bacillota; Erysipelotrichia; Erysipelotrichales; Erysipelotrichaceae.